Cyprinus carpio carpio is the source of this 1576-nucleotide long non-coding RNA. The record is from Ensembl. Lineage: Eukaryota; Metazoa; Chordata; Actinopteri; Cypriniformes; Cyprinidae.
CCAACAGACCGAUCUAAGCUGAUUUAAGUGAGAAAUGGAGAACACUUACUGAAAUUGAUUUGCAUUGUGCUACAAGAAGAAUUGUUAUGAUGCGCAACAUGAUGUCACAACAUUAAGAAAAAAAGGGUGGGCACACUGAUGAGGAAGGCAUGCUACACAUCCUUUGCACACCUUCAUUCAUAUUCUGUUAUCAUGCAGCCUGCAGUCUCUUGUGCAUUGAUACUGAUGUUUUCCCUGCAUCUUUGCUGUAAUGCAUUACAAAAUGGAACAUGCAACAACUUCACAGUGGCAUUUAUAGAGACUGCAGAAAAAGUGUCUUGCUUUAAGAUGAUGGAUGGACAUGGCCCAGUUUGUACAUCUCACAAUUCAACCCAGUCAUGUCAGAUAGACUAUAGAGAUGGCAAGACAUGCAUAAAGUGGCCAGUAGACACCGACAUCUUAUGUGUAAAAGAUUCUGAUGAGAUUCCUAACCAGCUAAAUACUGAUGAAAUCAACUGUGCCCAUGACCAAGAAUCUAUCAGUUGCAAUGGAGAGUACAAAUCUGACUCAGUCUCAGAAUCUGGAGAUUCUGCAUCAACCCUAUCAUUGAGUAAGAAUGCAAAACUAAACAAUUAGCUGCUACAUGUUUGCAUCCAUCAUAAUAUAAUUUCACAUGGUCAUGUAUCUAAAUUAUUGAUCCCCCCCUUUUUUUUUUCUUUUUUUUUUUUGCAGGCAUUCUUCUAAUUACAGCUGCUAUUACCGUUGUCCAGUGGGUGUCACUCUGACACUACUAAUAGUUUAUAAUAGUGCUGUAUAUAGUCAGGGGUGCACAGAAGUUUUUCAGCCUGGUUCUUAUAACAGCACUUUGAGAUUUGGUUUGGUCCUCACACUGCCCAUAGUGUGACCCGUUAAAUAUAACUAUUAGAAAAUACUUAAUAAUAGCGAUAAUAAUAUUAUUGCACUUUAUUUGUUUAGUUUUUUCAAUAAAAUAAUAAUCAAAAUAAUAAAGUGUGAUAAUACUAUAGUUUUUUAAAAUACAAAAUGUGUAUUAAAUAAAAAUACAAUUAUUUUAUACUAAACAUCAAAUAAAAUGCUAAUAUUUACUUUUUUAAAUAUGAAUUUUUCAUCAUUUUCCAACUUAAAAUCAACAAGCUUUUAUUCUGGCGCUGCGCUGCCGAUUGAAGCGCGUCAGUGAAUGAAAUGUCACAGUUUUGCAUUGUGCUUUGAAAAUGGCAGCAGAUAGCUUAGAAUAGAUUCAUGAUUUCAGUUCGAAUAGAAAUCUUAUACAUGUACAGUAUUACAGUUUGUCGAUUUAAAAUAGUAGGCUAAUUGUGCAUUAACAUAUGGUCGGUACGCAAAUAAGCAGUAUGAAAUUAUUUACACGGCGCCAUUUUUUAUUUUUAUUUUUGUCACGCAUGCGCACCACUUAUGUGCACCCCUGUAAGUGUAUAGUGCUCUAUACACUACUUUACUAGUUUAUAGAAUAGAUCGGCUACGUUACAAUACUUAAAAAAAAAGAAUGUUGAUGUGUUUGAAUAAACCAUCUAUAAUAAAAAUUGAAAUAUUCAGUAAAAAUAAGAAUUGUCCAUUAUUGUCC